This 2751-nucleotide ribosomal RNA is filed under the name Triticum aestivum (bread wheat). RNAcentral's name for it is "partial small subunit ribosomal RNA". The record is from RNAcentral. Lineage: Eukaryota; Viridiplantae; Streptophyta; Magnoliopsida; Poales; Poaceae.
AUGGAGAUGCAGCUCGCGGCCGUGCUCGCCACGCUCGCCCUCGGCGGCGCGCUCGUCGUGCUCUUCUUCGGCAAGUGGUGGCAGCCGCUGGCUGACGGCGACAAGCGCGUCAAGGAGCUCGACGACGCCGUCGAGGCCCUGCUGCAGCUGCGGGCCGACGUGCUCAAGCAGCUGGACGGCGCGCCGGAGCCGGAGCAGCCGCGCGCGUGGAUGCGGCGCGUGCAGGACGCGCAGGACGAGGUGGCGUCCGUCAAGGCGCGGCACGACGCGGGGCAGCUCUACGUCGUCCGCCUCCUGCAGUACUUCCUCACCACGGGCCCCGUCGCCGGGCUGGCCGAGAAGCAGCUCAAGAUCGUGCGCGCCAUCCAGGAGCAGGGCGUGGCGCUGCUCGAGGCCGCGCUGGCCGCGCCGCAGGUGCCGCCGCCGCUCCUCCUCCAGCCCGAGGAGCUGGAGCUCCCGCCCGAGACGGGGUCCGCCAGGCCCUACCUCAACGAGGCGCUCGGCUUCCUCGGCGACUGCGACGCCGCGCUCGGCGUCUGGGGCGCCGGCGGCGUGGGCAAGACGACGGUGCUGAAGCGGGUGCGCGACGUGUGCGGCCGCGUGGCGCCAUUCUUCGACCACGUCCUCCUCCUGGCGGCCUCCAGGGACUGCACGGUGGCGAAACUCCAGAAGGAGGUCGUGGCCGUGCUCGGCCUCCGCGACGCGCCGACCGAGCAGGCGCAGGCCGCCGGGAUCCUGAGCUUCCUCAGGGACAAGAGCUUCCUGCUCCUGCUGGACGGCGUGUGGGAGCGCCUGGACCUGGAGAGGGUGGGCAUCCCGCAGCCCUUGGGGGUGGUGGCCGGUCGGGUGAGGAAGGUGGUCGUGGCGUCCAGGAGCGAGGCGGUGUGCGCGGACAUGGGCUGCCGCAAGAAGAUCAAGAUGGAGUGCAUGAGCGAAGACGAUGCGUGGAGCCUGUUUGAAGCGAACGCCGGCGAGGAGGCCAUCCGCGGCGACGCCCAAAUUUCCACACUUGCAAGACAGGUGGCUGCAGAAUGCAAUGGCCUGCCUCUCUUCCUCGCCACCGUCGGCCGUGCCAUGUCCAACAAACGUACAGCAGAGGAGUGGGGCGAUGCAUUCGACAAGCUCAAGAAGCCGCAGCUCACGAGCACUGCGCCCGGCCAGGACAAGGGUGCGCACGCUCUCGUGAAGUUCUGCUUCGACAGCCUUGAGAGCGACACGGUGAGGGAGUGCCUCCUGACCUGCGCGCUCUGGCCGGAGGACCACAACAUCUCCAAGGACGAGCUCGUGCAGUGCUGGAUCGGCCUCGGCCUCCUCCCCAAGUACGACGACGUCGACGAGUCGCUCCGGUUCGGGCACACGGUGGUCGCCAUCCUGGAGUCGGCGCGCCUCCUGGAGCAGGGCGACAACCACCGGCACAACAUGUGCCCGUCCGACACGCACGUCCGGCUCCACGACGUCGUCCGCGACGCUGCGCUCCAGCUCGCGCCCGGCAAGUGGCUGGUCCGCGCGGGCGUCGGGCUCCGGGAGCCGCCCCGCGACGAGGCGCUGUGGCGCGACGUGGAGCUCGUGUCGCUGAUGCACAACGCCAUCGAGGAGGCCCCCGCCAAGGCCGGCGGCGCGCUCUCGGACGCGCAGCCGGCGUCGCUGAUGCUGCAGUGCAACCGCGCCCUGCCGCGGAGGAUGCUGCAGGCGAUCCAGCACUUCACCAGGCUGACGUACCUGGACCUGGAGGACACCGGCAUACUGGACGCGUUCCCGAUGGAGGUCUGCUGCCUUGUCAACCUGGAGUUCCUCAACCUGUCCAGGAACAGGAUCCUGUCGCUGCCCAUGGAGCUGGGCAACCUGAGCCAGCUCAAGUACCUCCACCUGCGCGACAACUACUACAUCCAGAUCACGGUGCCUCCGGGCCUGAUCUCGCGGCUCGCCAAGCUGCAGGUGCUGGACCUGUUCACCGCGAGCAUCGUCUCCGUCGCGGACGACUACGUCGCGCCGGUCAUCGACGACCUCGAGAGCAGCGGCGCGCGCAUGCCGUGGCUCGGCAUCUGGAUGGACAACACCCGCGACGCGCGGAGGUUGGCGCGCCUGGCGCCGGGCGUGCGCGCCCGGUCGAUCCACCUGCGCAAGCUGGACGGGGCGCGGACCCUGGAGCUGCUGUCGGCGCAGCACGCGGCGGAGCUCGGGGGCGUGCAGGAGGGCCUGCGGGAGCUGGCGGUGUACUCGUCCGACAUCGAGGAGAUCGUGGCGGACGCGCACGCGCCGAGGCUGGAGGUGGUCAAGUUCGGGUUCCUCGCGAGGCUCCGCGUCAUGGAGUGGUCCCACGGCGCGGCGUCCAACCUCCGGGAGGUGGCCAUCGGCGCGUGCCACGCGCUGACGCACAUGACCUGGGUGCAGCACCUCCCUUGCCUCGAGUCGCUCAACCUCAGCGGCUGCAACGGCAUGACGAGGCUGGUCGGCGGCGUCGCGGAGGGGGGCAGCGAGGCGGAGGAGGUGGUGACGUUCCCGCGGCUGAGGCUGCUGGCGCUGCUGGGGCUGCCGAGGCUGGAGGACAUCCGCGGCGGCGGCGGGGAGUGCGCGUUCCCGGAGCUGCGGAGGCUGCAGACCAGGGGGUGCUCGCGGCUGAGGCGCAUACCCAUGCGGCCGGUGGCCGGCGGGCAGGGCAGGGUGAGGGUGGAGGGCGACAAGCACUGGUGGAACGGGCUGCAGUGGGCGAGCGACGACGUCAAGGCCUGCUUCGUUCCGGUGCUGCUCUGA